RNAcentral lists this ribosomal RNA (497 nucleotides) under uncultured bacterium. RNAcentral's name for it is "partial 16S ribosomal RNA". It matches the Rfam family "Bacterial small subunit ribosomal RNA", at positions 28 to 507 of the family's 1533-position model. The record is from RNAcentral.
GAUGAACGCUGGCGGCGUGCCUAAUACAUGCAAGUCGAGCGAACGGACGAGAAGCUUGCUUCUCUGAUGUUAGCGGCGGACGGGUGAGUAACACGUGGAUAACCUACCUAUAAGACUGGGAUAACUUCGGGAAACCGUAGCUAAUACCGGAUAAUAUUUUGAACCGCAUGGUUCAAAAGUGAAAGACGGUCUUGCUGUCACUUAUAGAUGGUUCCGCGCUGCAUUAGCUAGUUGGUAAGGUAACGGCUUACCAAGGCAACGAUGCAUAGCCGACCUGAGAGGGUGAUCGGCCACACUGGAACUGAGACACGGUCCAGACUCCUACGGGAGGCAGCAGUAGGGAAUCUUCCGCAAUGGGCGAAAGCCUGACGGAGCAACGCCGCGUGAGUGAUGAAGGUCUUCGGAUCGUAAAACUCUGUUAUUAGGGAAGAACAUAUGUGUAAGUAACUGUGCCCAUCUUGACGGUACCUAAUCAGAAAGCCACGGCUAACUACGUG